This 495-nucleotide ribosomal RNA is filed under the name uncultured bacterium. RNAcentral's name for it is "partial 16S ribosomal RNA". It matches the Rfam family "Bacterial small subunit ribosomal RNA", at positions 28 to 507 of the family's 1533-position model. The record is from RNAcentral.
GACGAACGCUGGCGGCGUGCCUAAUACAUGCGAGUCGAACGCUGAAGGAGGAGCUUGCUUCUCUGGAUGAGUUGCGAACGGGUGAGUAACGCGUAGGUAACCUGCCUGGUAGCGGGGGAUAACUAUUGGAAACGAUAGCUAAUACCGCAUAAGAGUAGAUGUUGCAUGACAUUUGCUUAAAAGGUGCAAUUGCAUCACUACCAGAUGGACCUGCGUUGUAUUAGCUAGUUGGUGGGGUAACGGCUCACCAAGGCGACGAUACAUAGCCGACCUGAGAGGGUGAUCGGCCACACUGGGACUGAGACACGGCCCAGACUCCUACGGGAGGCAGCAGUAGGGAAUCUUCGGCAAUGGACGGAAGUCUGACCGAGCAACGCCGCGUGAGUGAAGAAGGUUUUCGGAUCGUAAAGCUCUGUUGUAAGAGAAGAACGAGUGUGAGAGUGGAAAGUUCACACUGUGACGGUAUCUUACCAGAAAGGGACGGCUAACUACGUG